RNAcentral lists this ribosomal RNA (520 nucleotides) under uncultured bacterium. RNAcentral's name for it is "bacterial SSU rRNA". It matches the Rfam family "Bacterial small subunit ribosomal RNA", at positions 33 to 526 of the family's 1533-position model. The record is from RNAcentral.
ACGCUGGCGGCGUGCCUAAUACAUGCAAGUCGAACGCUUCUUCUUUCACCGGAGCUUGCUCCACCGAAAGAAGAAGAGUGGCGAACGGGUGAGUAACACGUGGAUAACCUGCCUCAAGGCUGGGGAUAACAUUUGGAAACAGAUGCUAAUACCGAAUAAAACUUAGUAUCGCAUGAUACAAAGUUAAAAGGCGCUACGGCGUCACCUAGAGAUGGAUCCGCGGUGCAUUAGUUAGUUGGUGGGGUAAAGGCUUACCAAGACAAUGAUGCAUAGCCGAGUUGAGAGACUGAUCGGCCACAUUGGGACUGAGACACGGCCCAAACUCCUACGGGAGGCUGCAGUAGGGAAUCUUCCACAAUGGGCGAAAGCCUGAUGGAGCAACGCCGCGUGUGUGAUGAAGGCUUUCGGGUCGUAAAGCACUGUUGUAUGGGAAGAACAGCUAGAAUAGGAAAUGAUUUUAGUUUGACGGUACCAUACCAGAAAGGGACGGCUAAAUACGUGCCAGCCGCCGCAGUAACAC